RNAcentral lists this ribosomal RNA (1032 nucleotides) under uncultured organism. RNAcentral describes it as "bacterial SSU rRNA". It matches the Rfam family "Bacterial small subunit ribosomal RNA", at positions 113 to 1178 of the family's 1533-position model. The record is from RNAcentral.
ACACGUGGGUGACCUGCCUCGAAGACGGGGAUAACCACUGGAAACGGUGGCUAAUACCCGAUGGUCUCGAUAAUUCGGUUUAUCGAGUAAAGGCUCCGGCGCUUUGAGAGGGACCUGCGGCCCAUCAGCUAGUUGGUAGGGUAAUGGCCUACCAAGGCAAAGACGGGUAGGGGGCGUGAGAGCGUGACCCCCCACACUGGCACUGGGACACGGGCCAGACUCCUACGGGAGGCAGCAGUGAGGAAUAUUGCGCAAUGAGCGAAAGCUAGACGCAGCAACGCCGCGUGGGUGAUGAAGGCCUUCGGGUCGUAAAACCCUUUUCUGGGGGAAGAGUAAGGACGGUACCCCAGGAAUAAGCCUCGGCUAACUAUGUGCCAGCAGCCGCGGUAAUACAUAGGAGGCAAGCGUUAUCCGGAUUUACUGGGCGUAAAGAGCGUUGAGGCGGCUUCGUAAGUUGGACGUGAAAGCUCCCGGCUUAACUGGGAGAGGCCGUUCAAUACUGCGGGGCUUGAGGACAGCAGAGGGGGGUGGAAUUUCCGGUGUAGUGGUGAAAUGCGUAGAUAUCGGAAGGAACACCAGUGGCGAAGGCGGCCCCCUGGGCUGCUCCUGACGCUGAAGGCGAAAGCUAGGGUAGCGAACGGGAUUAGAAACCCCGGUAGUCCUAGCCGUAAACGAUGGAUACUAGGUGUAGGAGGUUAAAAUUCCUUCUGUGCCGGAGCUAACGCGUUAAGUAUCCCGCCUGGGGAGUACGGUCGCAAGGCUAAAACUCAAAGGAAUUGACGGGGGCCCGCACAAGCAGCGGAGCGUGUGGUUUAAUUCGAUGCAACGCGAAGAACCUUACCAGGGCUUGACAUGUAGGUAGUAGUGAAGCGAAAGCGGAACGAUCCUUCGGGAAGCCUACACAGGUGCUGCAUGGCUGUCGUCAGCUCGUGCCGUGAGGUGCUAGAUUAAGUCAUGUAACGAGCGCAACUCCCUGCCGUUAGUUACAAGUGUCUAUCGGGACUGCCCGGCAAAACUGGGAGGAAGGUGGGG